RNAcentral lists this ribosomal RNA (261 nucleotides) under uncultured bacterium. RNAcentral describes it as "partial 16S ribosomal RNA". It matches the Rfam family "Bacterial small subunit ribosomal RNA", at positions 92 to 354 of the family's 1533-position model. The record is from RNAcentral.
UUAGUGGCGGACGGGUGAGUAACGCGUGGGUAACCUGCCUUACACAGGGGGAUAACACUUAGAAAUAGGUGCUAAAACCGCAUAAGCGCACAGCUUCGCAUGAAGCGGUGUGAAAAACUCCGGUGGUGUAAGAUGGACCCGCGUCUGAUUAGCUUGUUGGCGGGGUAACGGCCCACCAAGGCGACGAUCAGUAGCCGGCCUGAGAGGGCGGACGGCACAUUGGGACUGAGACACGGCCCAGACUCCUACGGGAGGCAGCAG